This is a non-coding RNA of Chelonoidis abingdonii (Abingdon island giant tortoise), 125 nucleotides long. The record is from RefSeq and is a predicted model, not a curated record. Lineage: Eukaryota; Metazoa; Chordata; Testudines; Testudinidae.
UUCAAAAGAUGUUGAACAGUUUGUUUUGUUUAGUCUAACUCAGGCAGGACGUGAAGCAUUUAAUCACAGCAUCCCUUGCAAAAGGAAUAUAUGAGAGACUAUACCAGGUCAGUGCUAAGAAGUGG